RNAcentral lists this ribosomal RNA (1370 nucleotides) under uncultured bacterium. RNAcentral's name for it is "bacterial SSU rRNA". It matches the Rfam family "Bacterial small subunit ribosomal RNA". The record is from RNAcentral.
AGAGUUUGAUCCUGGCUCAGGACGAACGCUGGCGGCGCGCCUAACACAUGCAAGUCGAACGAGAGAUGAGGAGCUUGCUCUUCAAAUCGAGUGGCGAACGGGUGAGUAACGCGUGAGGAACCUGCCUCAAAGAGGGGGACAACAGUUGGAAACGACUGCUAAUACCGCAUAAGCCCACGGCUCGGCAUCGAGCAGAGGGAAAAGGAGCAAUCCGCUUUGAGAUGGCCUCGCGUCCGAUUAGCUAGUUGGUGAGGUAACGGCCCACCAAGGCGACGAUCGGUAGCCGGACUGAGAGGUUGAACGGCCACAUUGGGACUGAGACACGGCCCAGACUCCUACGGGAGGCAGCAGUGGGGAGUAUUGCACAAUGGGGGAAACCCUGAUGCAGCGACGCCGCGUGGAGGAAGAAGGUCUUCGGAUUGUAAACUCCUGUUGUUGAGGAAGAUAAUGACGGUACUCAACAAGGAAGUGACGGCUAACUACGUGCCAGCAGCCGCGGUAAAACGUAGGUCACAAGCGUUGUCCGGAAUUACUGGGUGUAAAGGGAGCGCAGGCGGGAGAACAAGUUGGAAGUGAAAUCCAUGGGCUCAACCCAUGAACUGCUUUCAAAACUGUUUUUCUUGAGUAGUGCAGAGGUAGGCGGAAUUCCCGGUGUAGCGGUGGAAUGCGUAGAUAUCGGGAGGAACACCAGUGGCGAAGGCGGCCUACUGGGCACCAACUGACGCUGAGGCUCGAAAGUGUGGGUAGCAAACAGGAUUAGAUACCCUGGUAGUCCACACCGUAAACGAUGAUUACUAGGUGUUGGAGGAUUGACCCCUUCAGUGCCGCAGUUAACACAAUAAGUAAUCCACCUGGGGAGUACGACCGCAAGGUUGAAACUCAAAGGAAUUGACGGGGGCCCGCACAAGCAGUGGAGUAUGUGGUUUAAUUCGACGCAACGCGAAGAACCUUACCAAGUCUUGACAUCCCUUGACGAUGCUGGAAACAGUAUUUCUCUUCGGAGCAAGGAGACAGGUGGUGCAUGGUUGUCGUCAGCUCGUGUCGUGAGAUGUUGGGUUAAGUCCCGCAACGAGCGCAACCCUUAUGGUCAGUUACUACGCAAGAGGACUCUGGCCAGACUGCCGUUGACAAAACGGAGGAAGGUGGGGAUGACGUCAAAUCAUCAUGCCCUUUAUGACUUGGGCUACACACGUACUACAAUGGCGUUAAACAAAGAGAAGCAAGACCGCGAGGUGGAGCAAAACUCAGAAACAACGUCCCAGUUCGGACUGCAGGCUGCAACUCGCCUGCACGAAGUCGGAAUUGCUAGUAAUCGUGGAUCAGCAUGCCACGGUGAAUACGUUCCCGGGCCUUGUACUCACCGCCCGUCA